UAUAUACUAUGUUUCAUUUAUGAAGAAAUUGAUUUUCUUUUGGGAGUCACUUUUGAUCUGUAAUUUUAAAAUACAAGUCUGAAUAUUUGUAGUUGAUUCUUAACUGUGCAUAAACCUAGAUAUACCAUUAUCCCUUUUAUACCUAAGAAGGGCAUGCUAAUAAUUACCACUGUCAAAGAGGCAAAGGUGUUGAUUUUUGUAUAUGAAGUUAAGCCUCAGCAGAG
This 224-nucleotide long non-coding RNA is filed under the name Homo sapiens (human). Lineage: Eukaryota; Metazoa; Chordata; Mammalia; Primates; Hominidae. The record is from RNAcentral.